RNAcentral lists this transfer RNA (85 nucleotides) under Aureobasidium namibiae CBS 147.97. It matches the Rfam family "tRNA". From Rfam's summary of the family: Transfer RNA (tRNA) molecules are approximately 80 nucleotides in length. Their secondary structure includes four short double-helical elements and three loops (D, anti-codon, and T loops). Further hydrogen bonds mediate the characteristic L-shaped molecular structure. tRNAs have two regions of fundamental functional importance: the anti-codon, which is responsible for specific mRNA codon recognition, and the 3' end, to which the tRNAs corresponding amino acid is attached (by aminoacyl-tRNA synthetases). tRNAs cope with the degeneracy of the genetic code in two manners: having more than one tRNA (with a specific anti-codon) for a particular amino acid; and 'wobble' base-pairing, i.e. permitting non-standard base-pairing at the 3rd anti-codon position. Lineage: Eukaryota; Fungi; Ascomycota; Dothideomycetes; Dothideales; Saccotheciaceae. The record is from Rfam by way of RNAcentral.
GCUUCGGUGGUGUAGUGGUAACAUACUAGCCUUCCAAUCAUUGAAUUGAGAGCUUGUGCCCGGGGUUCGAUUCCCCGUCGUAGCA